RNAcentral lists this unclassified non-coding RNA (800 nucleotides) under Hevea brasiliensis (rubber tree). The record is from RNAcentral. Lineage: Eukaryota; Viridiplantae; Streptophyta; Magnoliopsida; Malpighiales; Euphorbiaceae.
AAAGAAAAGGCAUUUGUGGCUCCGAAGUACUCUGUUUCCGUUCCUUAUUUAAUUUCCUGACCAGAUCUAAUCUGAGUAGAAAGGCAUUUCACCAAAAAGAUCAACUUUGUGACUUUUCUAAUCCAUUAUAUACACAGUUCCAAUCUCUAAAUCUUUGUUUAUAUUUGGCUACAUUAUUCUCCAAAUAAAGGGGUCUACUUUUUUUUCAUUUUUGCAUAACUAGUGGCUCUGUUUUCUGGGUAAGUUUCUUUCUUGAUUGUUUCUUGCCAUUUCUAAUUUUCUUAAAACUGGGAUUGGUUAGAUCUCUUAUGCUUUGUGUAGAUCCGUAUUUUCUCUCCAAAAAAGCUUUCUGCUUCUGCAAUUUAUGUUGCGUUUAUGACUAUAGUUUGUUUUGUCAAAUUUGAUAAGUGGGUAUCAUAAAUGGGUGUUGUUCUGAUGCAACUAAAUUCAUUCUUUAUGUUUGCCAAUCUGAAAUGAAAUAGUGCACAUCUUCUCUUGUUUUUUAUUAUUGAUUUGGUUUUAGCAACUCUGUUCUUUCUUUUUUCUGUUAAUCUUCAAGCUUUCUCUGCAGAUUAGAUUUUCUUUGUUUCAUUAAUGCUCAUUAUAUGUGCGUGCUAUUACUUUUAUAUAAUUACAGUUUUUUUUCCCUUUUCUAAUAAUCUUUUGUUAAACUUGCAUGCACUGGUUUUUAAUUAACUUGUUGCUGCUUUAGCAAGUAAUUGAUAUAAACUUGUAGGCAGGUUAUUGGAGGAGAGGAGAGGAGAGAAUUAUUUGCAGGGGGCUAAAUCAUGUUUCGGUCA